Molecule: transfer RNA, 72 nt
Filed under: Crassvirales sp.
Lineage: Duplodnaviria; Heunggongvirae; Uroviricota; Caudoviricetes; Crassvirales
Description: tRNA-Lys
Rfam family: tRNA
About the family: Transfer RNA (tRNA) molecules are approximately 80 nucleotides in length. Their secondary structure includes four short double-helical elements and three loops (D, anti-codon, and T loops).
Source: RNAcentral
ACUCCUUUAGCUCAGUGGUAGAGCAUCAGAUUUUUAAUCUGAGGGUCAUGGGUUCGAGUCCCAUAGGGAGUA